This 543-nucleotide ribosomal RNA is filed under the name Triticum aestivum (bread wheat). RNAcentral's name for it is "partial small subunit ribosomal RNA". Lineage: Eukaryota; Viridiplantae; Streptophyta; Magnoliopsida; Poales; Poaceae. The record is from RNAcentral.
AUGACCUCUGCUUCCGGUGCCUCAGCACACGCCACCGCCGCAAAGAUUGCAGAGAUCCCUUUCGCUGCAUCAUUUGCAAGCGUCAGGGACACUCCGGCAAGCAGUGCCCAGAGAACCCAAGAAACAGAGGCCGGGGCGGCUCUGCCAAAGAGCGGCUCGGCCCCCGGCAGCCCCCCAAGUCAAUCCACAGCCGCAUCCGCUUCCCCACACCCCCCUCCUCCACCACCCCACUCACCGCCUGUCGCCACGACAUCCAGCGGCCGCGUCUCCCACGUCGACCCUUCGAGUCGCCCCCGUUCAAGCAACAAGGUCAUCGUCUCCUUGCCAACCAUGGACCAUGCCGUCUUCGUCCUCCGUCACCACGCUGUCACCCUCACUGCUGUCGGUGGGAAGGGCAUCACCAACCCAUUCAUGGUGGGGCAGGCCAUCGAGGAGCAGGUGCGCGUCUCGCUGCACCUGAUGCGGGUCAUGGAGCAUGACCCCGAGGACUUCUUCAUCCACUUCGACCUACCGGCGCUGAGAGACAACGCAGUGGCCUGCGGC